GUCGAAGGUGGGGCUGAUGACUGGGGUGAAGUCGUAACAAGGUAUCCGUACCGGAAGGUGCGGAUGGAUCACCUCCUAACAGGGAGACAAAACAAUGAUUUUGAUGUCUGAGUAUUUCAUUCUUAGGCCGAAAUCCUGUCACCUUAGGUCGAUCGGUACCUCAACAUUUUUCCAAAGAUUGGUGAGCAAUCAUCAUGAGAUUGGAAGUGAUGUUCAGUUCCUAAACUUUGUCUAGGUCACACCCCGCAAGGGAAGAGUCCCCUGGGCCAUUAGCUCAGGUGGUUAGAGCGCACCCCUGAUAAGGGUGAGGUCCCUGGUUCAAGUCCAGGAUGGCCCAUUCGAUGUUGGGGGUUUAGCUCAGUUGGUAGAGCGCCUGCUUUGCAAGCAGGAUGUCAGGAGUUCGAGUCUCCUAACCUCCACUGACAGAACUCAAUCUCCAUUGUCCGGUAACUCGGAGGAUGAACUCGAUGGCGUGUGAUUUAGAUGUGUCCACUAGAUAGGACCCUAGCUUCCUGUCAUUCCGAACAAGUAAUUCUUGCUUGAUUGGUUGAUAUGAUGCUGGGCUCAGAUUAAUCGAAAGAUUAAUUUGAUCUCUAGUAGAACCUUGACAACUGCAUAAGUAAGUCUGGAAAAACGAAGCAUCUUACAGAUGCAUUGUUUUAAGUCUGAAUUCUCGAAAGAGAGUUUAGACCUAGAAUGAUGAAAAUUCUUUUAAGCAAGAGCCGAGACUCUUAGAUGUUCUUUUUAUUGUGUCGAGCGAUAAAGAGUUUGAUUUUGUUUUUAUGAGCAGCGAAAAAGUUGCUGAUGAAAACAGAAGAAUCUGCUUUCAACCGCAGUAAGCGUUUAAGAGGUUAAUUGGUCAAGCUACAAAGGGCUCACGGC
RNAcentral lists this unclassified non-coding RNA (882 nucleotides) under uncultured Synechococcus sp. RNAcentral describes it as "partial may contain 16S ribosomal RNA, 16S-23S ribosomal RNA intergenic spacer, and 23S ribosomal RNA". The stretch from base 347 to 419 matches the Rfam family "tRNA". The record is from RNAcentral. Lineage: Bacteria; Bacillati; Cyanobacteriota; Cyanophyceae; Synechococcales; Synechococcaceae.